Molecule: unclassified non-coding RNA, 811 nt
Filed under: Hevea brasiliensis (rubber tree)
Lineage: Eukaryota; Viridiplantae; Streptophyta; Magnoliopsida; Malpighiales; Euphorbiaceae
Source: RNAcentral
AAGAUGAAUUUGCUCACUGAACUUCAAUUUCUAUUCAUAAAAUAACUAAGCUUUAAUUUUGUUUCAAUGAGAUUAUUGUUAGAUUUUGAUAGAACUUGUGCUGGAUUUUUUAUGUGAUAACCAAGUAAAAAACAAAAAAAUUCUAACUUCAUUCUACAAUUGUAGUUAGACUGUAAGAAUUUCUUAUACAAAAUUUUGGUAAGAGCAAUACGUUGUACUCUUUAGUCAAUUUUAUAAUAGACUUAAGCAUAGGAGUGAUUGCCCAAGCCAAUCCAUCAGUAUUUUCUCUCGUCUUGCAAGUCUAUAGGUGCAGGAAAAAUCCACGAAUAACACCAUGAAUGAUUUUGCUGAUGCAAAUUAUAGUUCAGCAACUUCGUUGAAAUUUACUGUUAAGUGACCAUGGGUGAAAUUAAACCCAUUGCUAUCCAAAAUGCUAAUGCUUCCAGAUUGUCAGGACCAGUAGGAAAAGGUGACUUUGUACUCUCUCUGUAUCCUAUCAUGACUGGCGUAGAAGAUGUGCUGCCUUCUAAAUCCAAACUUUGACAUAUGAUGAGCUUCCCUUAACGUUCUGUUCUGAAUUUGAUAGAUACUUGACUUAUGCCUCUCUUUGGAUGGUACAAACAUCCAGGUUAAGGUCUUUUUCAGUGAGGGCAUCCAGACUUUGGCCCUUGGGCCUUGGCUAAGUUGCUUUCAAUAAAUUAUCAAUAUACUUGAAACACAAGCUGUUAUAGACUCUCUUUAGUUUUUCUUGUGAAUGGUUACCUAUUGUAUUUGGGUUUGCUUAUUAAAAUUGAGGGAAGCGACAAAGGUG